GACGAACGCUGGCGGCGUGCUUAACACAUGCAAGUCGAACGGAAAGGCCCUGCUUUUGUGGGGUGCUCGAGUGGCGAACGGGUGAGUAACACGUGAGUAACCUGCCCUUGACUUUGGGAUAACUUCAGGAAACUGGGGCUAAUACCGGAUAGGAGCUCCUGCUGCAUGGUGGGGGUUGGAAAGUUUCGGCGGUUGGGGAUGGACUCGCGGCUUACCAGCUUGUUGGUGGGGUAGUGGCUUACCAAGGCUUUGACGGGUAGCCGGCCUGAGAGGGUGACCGGCCACAUUGGGACUGAGAUACGGCCCAGACUCCUACGGGAGGCAGCAGUGGGGAAUAUUGCACAAUGGGCGGAAGCCUGAUGCAGCAACGCCGCGUGCGGGAUGACGGCCUUCGGGUUGUAGACCGCUUUCGCCUGUGACGAAGCGUGAGUGACGGUAAUGGGUAAAGAAGCACCGGCUAACUACGUG
This 468-nucleotide ribosomal RNA is filed under the name uncultured bacterium. Its description in RNAcentral is "partial 16S ribosomal RNA". It matches the Rfam family "Bacterial small subunit ribosomal RNA", at positions 28 to 507 of the family's 1533-position model. The record is from RNAcentral.